GCAGGAAGUCAUUCCCCCAAAAGUUGGUUUCUGGUCUGCAUUGAUCCAAGAGGGCUCCAGACAACAGGUGGAGAGGAGACCAUCUCACGCUGAACUGAACCAGUGUCUGGGUGUGGAGGAUCCACCUGAGGAUUGUUGCCAACAGCCAUAAAAAGAGAACUGGAGGGGAAGAUCGAAGGCUGUUGAUUUUCUAGGAGCAGCUUGUGUGGAUGGUCUUCCUGAUAGGAACUCGGCUGUUUUCAUCAGAGGGGGAGCUCAGGCCUCACUGUGGCUGGGAAUGGCUGCUGUUCUGUCAGGGGAGCUCUGAUCUUCACCGUGAGCAUCACUUCCUGGCUCCAGUAUGGAUCCCUCAGCCUGUGGCACAAAUCCUUCACCCCACCGGCAUAGGCUUUCUGGCUCCCACCACUGGCCUUUGGGCCUUCAGGUGCAGAUCCUCAAUACUGACAAGCGUGAGACGUUGCCAUGGGCUCUGGGCCUCUGGCUGGACUCAUGGAGGACACUGCCUUGGGCUCUAAGCCUUUAGCUGGACUUGUGUGGGAAAUUGCUGAUCCAGGCUCUCGGCUAGAUUCUUUGGGCCCCUAAUGUGUGGCUAAUCUCUUGCACUCCUUUGCAUUUGACUUUUGGGGUAAUUAUCAUAAAGUAAUCCUAUAAACUAUGUGUCCUGCAGUAAAUUUAUUCUCUUGCCAAACCCUGACUAUAGCAAUCUCCAAACUGAGUCUUAUCUAAAAGUCCUUCUAAAAUGUCUUUGGAAUUUAUUAAAAUGUUUCUACAUGC
RNAcentral lists this long non-coding RNA (774 nucleotides) under Heterocephalus glaber (naked mole-rat). RNAcentral describes it as "lncRNA (ENSHGLG00000044641.1)". Lineage: Eukaryota; Metazoa; Chordata; Mammalia; Rodentia; Bathyergidae. The record is from RNAcentral.